This 460-nucleotide ribosomal RNA is filed under the name uncultured bacterium. RNAcentral's name for it is "partial 16S ribosomal RNA". It matches the Rfam family "Bacterial small subunit ribosomal RNA", at positions 338 to 795 of the family's 1533-position model. The record is from RNAcentral.
CCUACGGGCGGCAGCAGUGAGGAAUAUUGGUCAAUGGACGAGAGUCUGAACCAGCCAAGUAGCGUGAAGGAUGACUGCCCUAUGGGUUGUAAACUUCUUUUAUAUGGGAAUAAAAUGUUCCACGUGUGGGAUUUUGUAUGUACCAUAUGAAUAAGGAUCGGCUAACUCCGUGCCAGCAGCCGCGGUAAUACGGAGGAUCCGAGCGUUAUCCGGAUUUAUUGGGUUUAAAGGGAGCGUAGGUGGAUUGUCAAGUCAGUUGUGAAAGUUUGCGGCUCAACCGUAAAAUUGCAGUUGAAACUGGCAGUCUUGAGUACAGUAGAGGUGGGCGGAAUUCGUGGUGUAGCGGUGAAAUGCUUAGAUAUCACGAAGAACUCCGAUUGCGAAGGCAGUUCACUGGACUGCAACUGACACUGAGGCUCGAAGGUGUGGGUAUCAAACAGGAUUAGAUACCCUAGUAGUC